GGUCUAUGGCUGAUCAAGAAGAGCCAUGGCCUAGGCUAGUGGCCCACAUUGAAUUCCAAAAUUUUGGGCAAAUUUGAUUGGAUGGCGUCAAUAUCUGGAGUCUGGAAGCAACCACAGUUCACAACACAUCGCUUACUAGAAAGAAUAACCAGGCACCGUAUGUUGACAGCAAGAAUUCUUCUGUUCAACAUACUGCUUCUAUUAGUAGCAUGUGUUCCUUUUCAUGCAGAAUGCGCAUUUUUUGCCCUUUCUGAAAGAGGCAGGUUUAGAUUGAGACGAUUCGUCAAACAAUGCAGAGAAAUUUAGAACUAGCUUGACUGCAAAUGUGCUUCGUGCUCUUUUCCUGGUUUCUUAUCUGAAGAAGAUUAUGCUGUGCAAGCUCCAAUAACUGAAUAUUAUGGAUUCCAUAUAUCCAGGUGAUCACUGAUGAGCAGAGCUUCUUCACAGUUCAGUACUUUAACCAUGCAUGGAAGUAGCUAUGUCUAAAUUGUUUAUUUACUGUUUUGUUU
Molecule: long non-coding RNA, 509 nt
Organism: Aegilops tauschii subsp. strangulata
Lineage: Eukaryota; Viridiplantae; Streptophyta; Magnoliopsida; Poales; Poaceae
Source: RefSeq, a predicted model, not a curated record